Macaca fascicularis (crab-eating macaque) is the source of this 2400-nucleotide long non-coding RNA. Lineage: Eukaryota; Metazoa; Chordata; Mammalia; Primates; Cercopithecidae. The record is from Ensembl.
AGUUAGAUAAAAUGCAUAUUCAGAUUCAGUAAUUUUGGGUGGAGCCUGAGAUUCCACUUUUCUAACAAUUUAGCAGGGGAUGCUGGUGCUGCUGGCCAACAGAGCGUAUUUUCAAUAACAAGGUCUAAAGUACCUCACAACUCCAAAUCACUGACUUUCUAGAAAAGUGUUUUGUUUGCCAGGGGCGGUGGUGGCUUAUGCCUAUAAUCCUAGCACUUUGGGAGGCCAAGCAGGUGGAUCACCUGAGGUCAGGAGUUCGAGACCAGCCUGACCAACAUGGAGAAACCCCGUCUCUACUAACAAUACAAAAAUUAGCCGGGCAUGGUGGCGGGUGCCUGUAAUCCCAGCUACUCAAGAAGGCUGAGGCAGACGAAUGGCUUGAACCCAGGAGGCGGAGGUUGCGCCAUUGCACUCCAACCUGGGCAACAAGAGCCAAACUCCAUCUUAAAAAAAAAAAAGAGAAAAGCACUUUGUUUAUCAAAAAUUUUUAUGUAUUCAUUUGUUGAGACCUUAUAAUUUAUCCAGCAACAUCCUAGGCAGUGGAAAUCCAGCAGUUACUAGACAGAAAAUGUCUCUGCCCACCCAAGUAUCAGGCUAUCCAACUAAAGCAAGGAUUCCAGCAGCCUAGCAUCAGCUUUUUGUGCUUCCACUCUAGCUUGGUGACUGUGACCAUGGUUGGGAUCCUGAUACCUUCCUUCUAGCAUUAACUUUGUAUUUUAUUUUUUCCCUGAAGAGUAUGAUUUGGGGAAUCAUAUGUUGUUUCUAGAUGCAUUUGUUUGCUAAAAUAGCAGGCAUGGUGUUGGGGGAGGAAGGAAAACCAAUAUACAAGUCAUGAAAAUACAAAGUAUUUGUUAUUUUAAAACCACAGCAACUAUAAUGGAAUUUAAAAGUAAAUUAUUUCGUGUCCAUGAACUAAUCCCCCAAAGAUGAUCACAGUUUUAAAGUAGGUCAGACUCUGAGACUAUGUGUUUCUAGACUGUAUCUAUAAUAAGUAAAACUCUCAUGUUUUCAUUGCUCUUGCAUUCAAAUAGUUUGAAUGCAAAUUUUAUUAUUUUUGAAUUCAAAUUUUAAUUUGUCUUCAAAAGCAUUCUACUGUUGGGAGCUUGAGGAACAUGUUAACCCUGCCUUUUGUGUUUCUCCUGAAUGUCAGACUAGUAAAGCCAGUGUAUUUAAAACUGGAAUUUUCUUUCUUUUAAUGUGUGGUUAGUUCUAAGGGGUGACAAAAGAGAAAAGCAGUCCUUGACACCUGGAAGCUGGCCCGGUACUAUCAGCUGGGCCUUGGUGUUCUCCUGUCGAACACAACACUUUCACAGAAAAACAACAUCAGAGAAGGCCACUCAGUGACCCUGAUGGAUCCAGACAAAACAAGACCACUCUGUAAUCAUGUCUGAACACGAAGCAUGAACAUUGUCCAAAUCACAAAAAUGACCAAACAUCCCACAUUCUAGCUAAUGUGAGUGACUUCUGCUUCUUUGACACUUCCAACUUUAGCCUUGGUCUAUUCUCUUCUCCUUCUAGACAAGAUUUACAAAUUAACUUAAUCAUAGAAUUCUCCUGGCACGUACUAGCCACUCACGAUAGAAUUGUGGUAUAAAAUUCCAAAUUCUUGAUUUCAUACACUCCUUUCUCUCACCACUAUCUUCUGUUCUAGCUGAUCUGCCUUAUCUCACAUGCACUGAUCUUAUUGAAAGCAAAGCCUGGCUUUUCGUCUUCUCCAGGCCUGGCCUCAGCAGCUGAACAUUGCUGCAGAAAAAUCACAACACUUUAGGUUCAUGAACUUGGGCAGUAUCAGACUGCUCACACGUAUUGUGGGGCUUGUAGGACAGAUGAUGCAGGAUAUUUUCCUGGUGGUAAUGUUGAGCAGUGUUAAAAUCCGGGGAAGGGAAGAGAAGUUUGAGAUGGAACUGAAGGUGUGAUGGAGAAAGCAAAACUUCCAGUAUUCUGUUAGGCAAACAUGACAGCCUGGGGCUGGCGGCAGAGGAAGGCCAGGUAAGUUGACACUACUGCUGUUUGUGUAGAAGUGGCUGGAAACACCAGGGGCUGAAACCUUUGCAGAAAACCCUUUUAUUUUCUGAAAUGAUCACUCAGUUCACACAAUUCCAGUGUUCCCAUUGCAAUGUUUAGCUCUCACUUAAAAGUGUACCCAAUAUUUAGCUCUCACUUAUAAGUGAGAAUAUCCAGUAUUUGCUUUUCUGUUCCUGCAUUAAUUUGCUUAGGCCUAGUUGAGAAGAGAGCUCAGUGGAGCUCAGCUAAAGUUUGGUCAAGGAGGGAGUCUUUAUCAGAGCUAAGAAAGAGUUUAAGAGGGAAACGCGCUCGGGUCCCCUUCCACGCUGUGGAAGCUUGGUCCUUUCGCUCUUCACAAUAAAUCUUGCUGCUGCUAAAAAAAAAAAAGAAAAAAAA